This 786-nucleotide ribosomal RNA is filed under the name uncultured bacterium. Its description in RNAcentral is "bacterial SSU rRNA". It matches the Rfam family "Bacterial small subunit ribosomal RNA", at positions 8 to 796 of the family's 1533-position model. The record is from RNAcentral.
AGAGUUUGAUCCUGGCUCAGAAUCAACGCUGGCGGCGUGCCUAACACAUGCAAGUCGAGCGAGAAAGGGGGGGCAACUCCCUGAGUAAAGCGGCGCACGGGUGAGUAACACGUGGGUAAUCUGCCCUGGAGUGGGGAAUAACACCGGGAAACCGGUGCUAAUACCGCAUACGAUAGCGAGGUCUGCGGAUCUUGCGAUGAAAGGAGCAAUUCGCUCUAGGAGGAGCCCGCGGCUGAUUAGCUAGUUGGUGAGGUAACGGCUCACCAAGGCUACGAUCAGUAUCCGGUCUGAGAGGACGGUCGGACACACUGGAACUGAGACACGGUCCAGACUCCUACGGGAGGCAGCAGUGGGGAAUUUUUGGCAAUGGGGGCAACCCUGACCAAGCAACGCCGCGUGGGUGAUGAAGUCUCUUGGGACGUAAAACCCUUUCGACGGGGAAAGAAACCGCAAGGUUGACGGUACCCGUAGAAAGAAGCCCCGGCUAACUCCGUGCCAGCAGCCCGCGGUAAUACGGGGGGGGGCGAGCGUUGUUCGGAAUUACUGGGCGUAAAGGGCGCGUAGGCGGUUCGCUAAGUUGGAUGUGAAAACUCUGGGCUCAACCCAGAGCCUGCAUCCAAAACUGGCGGGCUAGAGUUCUGGAGGGGGUAGCGGAAUUCCUGGUGUAGCGGUGAAAUGCGUAGAUAUCAGGAGGAACACCGGUGGCGAAGGCGGCUACCUGGACAGAAACUGACGCUGAGGCGCGAAAGCUAGGGGAGCAAACAGGAUUAGAUACCCUAGUAGUCC